GGUUUCCUGGUGUAAUGGCUAGCACUGCGGAUUCUGACUCUUGGAUUGAAAGAUUCUUGAUUCUAACAUUCCGCCAAUCUGGGUUCGAUUCCCAGGGAGACCU
Hypoxylon sp. EC38 is the source of this 103-nucleotide non-coding RNA. The record is from the annotation of a GenBank genome assembly. NCBI's taxonomy places the organism in Eukaryota, Fungi, Ascomycota, Sordariomycetes, Xylariales, Hypoxylaceae.